AUGUGAAAGGAAACCCCGCCCUCCCUAGUGCCCCCGGCGCUUCGUGAGUGGAACCUUCCCCCUAAUGCUCCCGCUUGUAUGGAACGGCAGUUGGAGGCUGCCCAGUAACCGGCUGAUGGGGCUCUCCUGCUCGGGGCCUCCAGCCUGACUGGCCGCUGCUUGGCUGGCUCUCUCUGACUAUUCAAGGACCCUGUGCCGCCCCCAACGAAGACUUCUGCUCCACUGGAGUCCAGAUGGAGGCCAGAGUGGCUGACUUCACUUGGGUUGGGGACAGAGGUAUUCUAGUGGCUUCCGAUUUAGGUGCUGUUGAAUUGUGGGAGCUGGAUGAGAACCAGACACUCAUUGUCAGCAAAUUCUGCAAGUAUGAGCAUGAUGACAUUGUGUCUACAGUCUGUCCUGAGCUCUGGCACACAAGCUGUCAGCAGUAGCAAAGACUUUGGCAUCAAGGUUUGGGACCUUGCCCAGCAGAUGGUACUGAGUUCAUACCGGGCUCACUCUGGGCUGGUCACCUGUGUCAGCUUCCCCGCACAAGGAUUCCGUGUUCCUUUCAUGCAGUGAGGACAACAGAAUUUUACUCUGGGAUACCCGCUGUCCCAAGCCAGCAUCACAGAUGGGCUGCACUGCAUCAGGCUACCUUUCUACCUCCCUGGCUUGGCAUCCUCAACAGAGUGAAGUCUUUGUCUUUGGUGACGAGAGUGGAACUGUUUCCCUUGUGGACACCAAGAGUGCAAGGUGUGCCCUCAGCUCAGCUGUGCACUCCCAGUGUGUCACUGGGCUGGUGUUCUCCCCACACAGCACCCCGUUCCUGACCUCUGUCAGUGAGGACUGUUCACUUGCUGUGCUGGACUCAGGUCUUUCUGAGGUGUUUAGAAGCCGAGCCCACAGAGACUUUGUGAGAGAUGCUACUUGGUCUCCAUUCAAUCACUCUCUCCUUACCACAGUGGGCUGGGACCAUCAGGUCAUCCACCACAUCCUGCCUGCAGAGCCUCUCCCAGCCCUUGGACCUAAGAGUGUGGCCAAGUAUAGUGGAUUUAAGACAAAAAGCAAAUCCCCCAUGAGUAUCCACUCCCUCUGCCCCUGCCCUCUCCAUCUGCGAAACCACACAGGAGCCUUAUACAGUAUGUUGGUACACCAGCUCUGGGCAGUUAAUAGGCACUGUCUCUCAGCCUGAGGGAGGCUGGAUUUUGGGAUCCUGUAGUCAUAGGGAAGAAAAACUUUCUUAAAAUUGGAUAUGUAUGUGUGUCUUAGUGUGUGUGUAGAUACAUAGUUUUUGGUGGUGGGAGGGAAUUAAAAAAAUUCAUCUUACAUCUUUCUUUCCCAAGCCCUCCCCCUAACAAAAAAAAAUGUUU
Callorhinus ursinus (northern fur seal) is the source of this 1349-nucleotide non-coding RNA. NCBI's taxonomy places the organism in Eukaryota, Metazoa, Chordata, Mammalia, Carnivora, Otariidae. The record is from RefSeq and is a predicted model, not a curated record.